CCUACGGGAGGCAGCAGUGGGGGAUAUUGCACAAUGGGGGAAACCCUGAUGCAGCGACGCCGCGUGAGUGAAGAAGUAUUUCGGUAUGUAAAGCUCUAUUAGCAGGGAAGAAAAUGACCGUACCUGACCAAGAAGCCCCGGGGAACUACGUGCCAGCAGCCGCGGAAAUACGUCGGGGGCAAGCGGUAUCCGGAUUUACUGGGUGUAAAGGGGGCGUAGACGGUUAUGUAAGUCUGGAGUGAAAGCCGGGGGCCCAACCCCGGGACUGCUUUGGAAACUGGGGAACUGGAGUUCAGGAGGGGCAGGCGGAAUGCCUGGUGUAGCGGUGAAAUGCGUAGAUAUCAGGAGGAACACCGGCGGCGAAGGCGGCCUGCUGGACUGAAACUGACGUUGAGGCUCGAAAGCGUGGGGAGCAAACAGGAUUAGAUACCCGGGUAGUC
This 440-nucleotide ribosomal RNA is filed under the name uncultured bacterium. RNAcentral describes it as "partial 16S ribosomal RNA". It matches the Rfam family "Bacterial small subunit ribosomal RNA", at positions 338 to 795 of the family's 1533-position model. The record is from RNAcentral.